UGGUCAUCUAUCGGGGGGGGGGGGUGUUUCGAAUGCAGUUUUCCUGCAUUUUAUUUAUUUAUUUAUUGGGGCCCCUGGUGGUGGCGCAGUGUGUUAAAGUGCUGAGCUGCUGAACUUGCAGACCGAAAGGUCCCAGGUUCAAAUCCCAGGCGCGGAAUGAGCGCGGGCUGCUAGCCCCAGCUCCUGCCAACCUAGCAGUUCGAAAACGUGCAAAUGUGAGUAGAUCAAUAGGUACCGCUCCGGCGGGAAGGUAACGGCGCUCCGUGCAGUCAUGCCAGCCACAUGACCUUGGAAGUGUCUACGGACAAUGCCGGCUCUUCGGCUUAGAAAUGGAGAUGAGCACCAACACCCAGAGUCGGUCACGACUGGACUUAACGUCAGGGGAAAACCUUUACCUUUUUAUUUAUUUAUUUAUUUACAGUAUUUAUAUUCCGCCCUUCUCACCCCGAAGGGGACUCAGGGCCACAUUGCACACAUAUAAGGCAAACAUUCAAUGCCAUAACAUACUGUGUUUCCCCGAAAAUAAGACAGUGUCUUAUGUUAAUUUUUGCUCCCAAAGAUGCACUAGGUCUUAUUUUUAGAGGAUGUCUUAUUUUUCCAUGAAGAAGAAUUAACAUUUAUUGUUGAACAAAAAAAAUUAACAUUUAUUAUAUACUGUACAGUAGUUGUCAUCACAAACAAGCAUAACCAGACAAAUUGUGAAUCCUAUCAAGAAUUUCUUGUUACUGUCAUUAUUUCCAUGUACAACAAUCUAUGGUACAUACAUUUACCAAUCCUGCAUGCUUCCAAACACAAACUUUGCUAGGUCUUACGUUCGGGGGAGGCCUUAUAUUUAGCAAUUCAGCAAAACCUCUACUAUGUCUUAUUUUCAGGAGAUGUCUUAUUUUCGGGGAAACAGGGUAGAACAGAGAGAGAGACAGAUGCAGGCACGGGCGGGUCUCGAACUCAUGACCUCUUGGUCAGAGUGAUUUGUUGCAGCUGGCUACGGCAGUGAUUCUCAGCAUGAUGUUUUCAGCCUACAACUCCCAGAAAUUCCAGCCAGAUUACCAACUGUUAGGAUUUCUGGGAGUUGAAGGCCAAAAACAUUGGGUAACCUCAAGUUGAGAACCACUGUUCUAAGGGUUAUAUUGCAGUGUGGACCCAGAUAUUUCAGUUCAAAGCGGGUAUUGUGGAUUGUCUGCAUUAUAUGACUGUGUAGAUGGGCCCUGAAGGGGAAACUUCCCAGGCCUGUCUCCCCUUCAGGAUACAACUUUCAUACUACAGUAGAGUCUCACUUAUCCAAGCUAAAUGGGCCAGCAGAAUCUUGGAUAAGCGAAAAUCUUGGAUAAUAAGGAGGGAUUAAGGAAAAGCCUAUUAAACAUCAAAUUAGGUUAUGGCUUUACAAAUUAAGCACCAAAACAUCGUGUUAUACAACAAAUUUGACAGAAAAAGUAGUUCAAUAUGCAGUAAUGUUAUGUUGUAAUUACUGUAUUUACAAAUUUAGCAACAAAAUAUCAUGAUAUAUUGAAAACAUCGACUACAAAAAUGCCUUGGAUAAUCCAGAACCUUGGAUAAGCGAGUCUUGGAUAAGUGAGACUCUACUGUACUUAUCUUUGACCUCAGCAGUUUUGCUUUGGCUGUGUGAAGGGAGAUCAUGGGUUGAAUUGAUGGAAAGAAGUAAAAGAGAGGAAGGAAAAAAGUGCCCCCUCCCAAAAAAUGUAGUAUUUCUCUUCUUCAAGCCACAACUUCCAUUCUAGUUCUGUCUCUUUACCUCAGCCUUGAGGUGGAAUUAAACUACAAAUGAGGAGAAGGGAAAGGCAAGGUCUUCAAAAUUAGGGUUUCCCAAUGUUCUCAAGACUUUGGGAUUCAUUUCCCCUGGAGGGUUAGGAUCCUGUUCAAACCACAACACGAGAUGACGGUUUUUGAUUAAAUUAGCCACUUUUUAAAGAGAUUUAAUAGAUUGCCACAUCCAUGAGAAUAUCACAGAUGUCCCGAUUAAUACAAGACAGCUCCCACCAUCCCUAUUUUGUUCACACCAUGCCCAUCUUUUCAUGCAACUCUUAACUGGGAAAUAAAUGCCUCUUUUAGCCUCCCUGAUCAUGAAAGCGUUGGCUGAGGGGGGAAAUAAGUGGCAAACAUAUUUUAAGAUUAUUAUAAUGAAGCAUCAUCAUGGUGUAUGUGCAAGAGCUUACAUACACAGGCUGAGUUUCCUUUAUUGUGUAUCAUCCAGUUUUGGGGAACAAUCACUGUACAGCACAAACACAAAGGCAAUUAUGGCUCUUCUUUCCAAAAUGUCACUUUUCCCUUUCGAAAUUUAUUUUCUCCAGCAGUGAACAUAAUGGCACUGGAAUUUGGAGAACUACUAUACAGUAUAUGGAAUAUGUCUGUUCUGCUCCUCAAAUGGUGUCAAAUGGCCUGUGACACCAUUUGAUGGGCAACAAUAAACCUGAAUCCAAUGGGAGAAGGGGGGAUCUUCUCCCAUUAUCUUAGAUCCCACCAUUCAAUAGAUUGCUCUUAGUCUAUCCCCUUCAUAGCAUUUUCAAGAAGCUGAAAAGUCUGCAUUUGCCAUCUCAGUCAUGCACACCUAACUCUUCAUCUAAUUCUACUCAUUUUGGUAGUAAAGUUGAGGUCAGCCCAGCUCUGAGCAUGUUGUUGCUAAACAUUUUUUGUUAUAAGCAGCACCACAAAUUAGAAGAAGAGUCAGGCAGGUGUUAAUGUGACCUGGGGACUGCAGAAUCUUUACUCCGAUUUUGAAUCUCGUUUCACUCAUCUUUCCUAAGACCCCCGAAUUGUACCCAUCCUAUUCACUUUCGUUACAACUAUUUAUGGACCAAAUCUUCACCCCCUCCAGCCAUGGAAACUUCAAGCAAGUAACGCCCUCUCAGCUCGAGCAGAAAGCAAUGGAAAACCCGCUUUGUGCAAACCUUACAAGAAAACCUCAUCAUAAGGAACAUGUUAGAGAUUGGCAGUCAAAUGGCUGAGGACCAUCAUCAAUCCUUGGACCACAACUUCGAGUAGUAUUUUCCUAAAAUACUCUUCUGUACAGUUAAUUGUCAAAGGUCUGUUUCAUUUUUUCAAAGUCUGCUACUCACUGAAGGUAACCAGACAGUGGACCAUUCUGUGGGAGAGAGUUCCCCACAGCUUGACAGGUUCCAGUAAGAAGAAGGACUUCCUUGUGACUUCACUAAAUAUGCCUAUGGGUGCAAUAGGGCUGAGAAAGAACUGUUUGCUAAUAUCUCAGAACUCAGAAAACUUAUAUCGAAUAAUGGGAAUCUGAAAAUAAACAUGUGUUCUUGGCCUUGUUAACAACCUUU
Long non-coding RNA from Anolis carolinensis (green anole), 3293 nucleotides. RefSeq lists it as uncharacterized. The record is from RefSeq and is a predicted model, not a curated record. The transcript has 2 exons. Lineage: Eukaryota; Metazoa; Chordata; Lepidosauria; Squamata; Anolidae.